This is an unclassified non-coding RNA of Macaca fascicularis (crab-eating macaque), 117 nucleotides long. It matches the Rfam family "Metazoan signal recognition particle RNA". From Rfam's summary of the family: The signal recognition particle (SRP) is a universally conserved ribonucleoprotein. NCBI's taxonomy places the organism in Eukaryota, Metazoa, Chordata, Mammalia, Primates, Cercopithecidae. The record is from Ensembl.
GCUGGGUGUGGUGGCUUACACCUGUAAUCCCGGCACUUUGGGAGGCUGAGGCAGGUGGAUCACCUGAGGUCAGGAGUUCGAGACCAGCCUGACCAACAUGGAGAAAUCCUGUCUCUA